Molecule: non-coding RNA, 2241 nt
Organism: Lonchura striata (white-rumped munia)
Lineage: Eukaryota; Metazoa; Chordata; Aves; Passeriformes; Estrildidae
Source: RefSeq, a predicted model, not a curated record
CAGAAGCACUGUAGAAGACAGAAACGAAGAGAUAAUUUUUCAUGUUUUCACAAUUGCACUCUGUUAAAGGAACUGAGGAGAUAACCAAUCCCUUUGGCAUUUGCUGCACAGGUGUCUGCAAACCAACUAGGACAGCUGGGAUUGGGAUAAAGGUGGUGAUUUCACUUGGAACAGCAUGUCAGGGCGCAGUGUUCGGCUGAAGUCAGUUCCCGUUCAAAGCCUCUCGGAGCUGGAGCGUGCUCGGCUGCAGGAAGUGGCUUUUUAUCAGUUGCAGCAGGACUGUGACCUGGGCUGUCAGAUUACUAUCCCCAAAGGUAAGGGCUUGAUAAGCUGUCUCUGUUUAGAUUGUUAAGCCACUGAUUUCAUAUCACAGCAGCAAACACUGGGUUUUUCUUAUUCCACAGAUACUGCCUUCUAUUUCAGUUUUGCUUAACCACAGUCAUUAUGUAAAAACGAUGAAUAAAGUUGUUUGUCUUCUGUGUCCAAUUUGGGCCACCUGGGAGUGGGAUUGUCUGUUCAAGGGCAGAUGUCUACAGGGUAGAUAAUCUAAAUCAGACCCAUUCAUGCCAGGAUGUCUUAAUACUCAAUUGGGAGAAAAAUGCUUUUCUUACUUUUCCGGAUAUCCAGAAUUAAAUUACUAUGUAGGUCAGGUAGAUCUUACCAUAGAAGUGCUUUUUUUCACUCUGUAUAACAUUGUCUGUGAAGGAAGCCAAAUGUCACUAAUUCACAUAGACAGUGAAGAUAUUUAUGUCAAAUAAUAUGAGUCUUACCCAAGUUUUCCUAAAGAAAAUGGUGCUUAAUUCCUAGAAAAGAAGUUAAUUUUCAGCAUAAAACAUCAAACUCCUAGGAAACAGGAGAUGAAAUGAAAAGGAGAAGCUCAGCUAUCAGAACCCUGAUGCAGGAUACGUGCAUGUGGUAGACCCGUACUUAGGUUACCAUGGAAGAGAUCUAAACCUCACUAAUGAGAAAGUUUCUGUUGUUUCCUGUAGGCUGUGGAUCAAACAUAGCAGAGAUAGCUGUUGUGCAGUCAUCUGCAAGUCUGGCUCUCCUGUUGUUUCUUUGCAGUUGUAUACUUACAUAAGGAAUAACAAGGGAUCGCUGAAUUCUCACCUUUGAUCAGAGUGACUGUGUAGUAGCAUAUACACAGUGAUGCCACAGGAGCAAUUUUUUAAUGAGUCUAAGUUAAGCAGAAAAAAAGUUGUCCAGCAUGUGAAAAUAAUGACAUAGAAAAGAACAAAUGUGAAAGAGACAGGCUUUUGUAUUCAUCAGCUUUUUAGGAUCCGCAGAAAACUCCUGCCAAAACCAACAAAGUCCAACUUCAUGCAUACAGGAAGGCAUCAGUUUGUAGUGAGAUGUAUUUAAUACAUUUCUUCAAGCCUCACCAGCUUCCCUGGUCUCUAAAAAAACAGUUUGAUCAACAGGAAGACAAUUUAAUAGGAUAUUCAUAGGAGGAACUGGAACAUUAAGGGCAUUCCAAUACUUUCUGACAGUCUGAACUGCCAAUGGCUGUUCCUGAGGGAGAUGAAAAUACACAUAUGGAGGUCCCACAUAUGUGGAUGGAUGUGUGUAUAUCAUCCAAGACAAUCAAGUAUAUACAUUGAUAGAAUAGCUUAGUUUGGAAGGGACCUUAAAGGUCAUCUAGUCCAACCCACUGCAAUAAGCAGGGACAUCUUCAACUAAAUGAGGUUGCUCAGAGUCCCAUCCAACCUGGCCUUGAAUGUUUUCAGAAGUUGGGUAUCUACCACCUAUCUGGGCAACCUGUUACAGUGUCACCUUCACUGUAAAAUAUCUUUUUUACACCUACUCUAAAUCUAUCCUCUUUUUUACUAAAACCAUUACCCCUUUUCCUGUUGCAAUAAACCCUACUAAAAAGACUGUUCUUGUCUUUCUUUUAAUCCCCCUUUCAUUACUAAAAGGCUGUGCUAAGAUUUCUCCAGUCUUCUUUCUGCGAGCUGAACAACCCCAAAUCUGUCAGCCUGUCUUUGUAGGAGAGAUGCUCCAGCCCUCUGAUGAUUUUUGUGGCCCUCCUCUAGACCUGCUCUAAUAGGUCCAUAUCCUUCCUGUGCUGAGUACCACAAAACUGUGUGCAGCACUCCAGGUGGGUCUCACCAGAGUGGAGCAGAGGGGCAGAAUCCCCUCCCUCACCCUGUUGGCCACGCUGCUUUGGAUGCAAUGCAGGACGUGUUUGAUUUUCUGGGCUGCAGGGGCACAUUGCUGGCUCAUGUCCAGCCUCUCAUCCAC